CUGCAUGGAAAAUAUUUAUUGUUGUUGUAUCUACUAUCAAUAAUAAUAAAUAGUGUAGUGGAAUGUAUCUGUUGUUCCAAGUAGCAAUACAAUUGUUGUUUAAAACACAAAUUAUUUACAGUCUUAGGGUAACAUAUCUUUCCCCCUCUCCCCUCACCCCCCAUCCAGAAAAAGAACCAAGUAAGAACCAAGCAUUUAAUGGUUUUACAGUUGAACCAAGACCAAACAGAUGUUAAUUUUGGAAAUGCACACUGGAGAUUUAGUUCACUUGUUUGGGGUUUUUUUUUUCUUUUCUUUUUUUGGUGGGGACAAGAAUACCUUUAUUGAAAAAUUAAUCUCAGAAGUUAUGGAACUAAUUGAGUGUUAUUCACAACCUGUCAGAAAUCUUGUUUGCAGAUUGUCUGAAUUAUUUGAGUAGUUUAACACACCUCAAACAAAGACAAAUUUAAAUAGACUAUCUUGGAACAUCUGCUACAUAAAGUAGAAGAAAUGUAAACUAUUUUUUUCUAAUUGUCUUGGCAAAUAGUAGUUUAAGGUAAAGUUUUCAUUGAUGAAACACUUGAAACUAAAUAAACCUUUCUUAUUAUAAUCUUUCUACUCUAAUUCUAUCUAAUAGGAAAUGUGAAUUACCAUUAAGUUCCAAUAAAAUAUGUGAAUUUAAAAGAGGCAGCUCCAUGAGGACCAAAGAGAGAAAAAAUGACAGUGCAAGCUCUCUAAUAUCUAAAGAGAAUCCCUGUUUAAUAUCAUUCUCUCAGUGGCUCAUAAGGCAUGUUUCUGGUGCUUAUCACCUUGGGCUUUGGUCUUUCAGGUGUCCUGAGUUUUGUGGUAGAAAAGUGCUUUUACUGUUCCUGACAACAAGUUGUUUGUUACACAGGAGAACACCUAGGCAAUGGGGUUUUUUGAGUAUUCUGGACACUGAUGUUACAUAUUCUUGUAUCUCUGUUCCAUUUCCUAUGUAAUGAAUGCUGCCUUAUUGCUCAGGUUCUGAAGGGUUUCCCCAUUCAUGCCGGUUUCUUAUUCAUACCACUUUGUUACCCAUAAGGGCAAUACUUCUAAAGAAGCAUGGUUACCAUUCUCUGUUGCAGGGAUUAGGGAAGCAAGGUGUUAACAAUUCACUCUCCUUUUCCCGCUCGUAAUCCUUAUGGCCUGGCAGAUGUAAUUUUUUUUGACAUACUGCAUGACCAGCAGAUGCCAAAAGUUUGCUGUUGGGGAAGACUUUGAGGAACUGUUUCCCAAGUACAUGUUUUCUAUUGAAUAAAACUCAUGCUUUUUAAUUUAUUUAAAGCUUAAAUAGUCGCACUGUAAUACCUUUGGCAUACUGCAGUCCAUUGAUUAAACUCAAAUUCAUUUGUGCUUAUGUCACUUUCACGUUGAAGAUGAUAUUAUUUUAAAGAUAACUUGCUUGCAGUACCAGGGCUUUUGAUAUCUCAUUAAAAAAAUCGUCUUCCCUCCAUAUACCUUCAUACCAGUUCAGCAAAUCUCCCAAGUCUUUGUGCUUUAUUUUUUUUCAAAGGCAAACCAUGUACCUGUUCUUACCUCUGCUAGGUCAAUCAGUUUAUGCCUCUGUGGGACCCACUUUUUAUACAACUCCUGCUGUAAUCUUCAAAAACAUUAUUAAGGUCAACAGCUGUAACUUGAAACUAGGUCCUGAAGGAGUUUCAGGACUGGACUGAGAAGUCAAAGUUUUAGGGCACAAAUAUCAAAGAGGCAAUUAAAACUGCAAAUUGAGAUAUCAAAAAAUAAGCUUUAGGAAGAGAUCAGGCUAAUGGUGGUUUAGGGAAUGGGUAGAAGGAUAGAAGGUGGAGGAAAAAGGAAGAAGGCUUUGUAACCACUCAAGUGCUGUCUUGGUUGCCUUCUGUUUUCUUGGAGGAACUGUUAACCCUUCAUGAGCAGCUCUGCAAUCUAUUGACAAAAUGAGAGCUGUUCUCCCACCAAAACACGGAAAGAAGAUGGUGGUAGGAGUUGGGAUUUGUUCAACCUUCAACUUGCUGCAAGCAGUUUGAUCUUUCCUAGAUCACAGAUAAAACAGUAUUGCUCAGUUCCAGCAACACAGACCUUGACCUGUGCUGGGAGGGUUUCUUAGGUUUCCAUUAGCACGUAAUGUAACACAGUCAGAGCAAAUCUGUUGAGAGGUGCUUAGGUUUUGAUGUCUGUACUAUCUGUGCAUGUUUUUAGAGCUUUGCUUUGGACACGCUGUCGUGUCUGUUUCUAUGGACAGAGAGCCUCUUGGCAGUGGGAAUGAAUGAGGUGCAGUCACAGUGUAAGCCAAAGCUUGUAAUAGUUGAUAUUUGAGAUAUACUUCAGAUGGAUAUUCUUAAUCUGUAAUGUAGAUGUACCUCUCAUUUUUUCCAGUCCUCUUCAGUACCGUCUCUAUGUCCUAGCUAGCCUGUGUUAUUAUUGAUUACUUGUCUUGCAAAUCAGGGCAGUGUUGGCUUACUUUUAUAAAUCUAAGUACAUUUCUUUGUAAUCAGAUCGUUGCAACUGACCUCUUGGUUACAACGAGUUCUGAAUUUAUAGUUUGCUUUCUUAUAGAGUGCUUUCUUAAAAUUGAUAGGAAGAUAGGAAAUGAGUGUGUCAGAUGCCAGUAUACUGAUAAAAAAACACAUUUUUUCAAGAUAGAUUCAGAAGUUCACUUUCAAAAUGUUGUCUGUCUUGCCUUUGGAGGUAGUCUUCCCAAAAAUAGUUAAUUUCAAUAUGGUAGCAUAUUAUACCAUGUAAAAUUAGAAAGUUCCCAGCUUCAUUAGUUGUCCCCAUUUUUGCACUGAAAUUCCAAACUGCGUAAUCCUCAGUUAUUCACAUUUGAACAGUUGAACUGUGAAAAUUUUACUUGGGAUAGCUUCCAGCUAGUCUUUUAUCAACAUUGUCAUGCUAAGAAAGUUACUGAAACCAGAACAGUCUUCACAGGUUGCUGCUAACUAGGCCUAGAUAACGAGAACCAUACCACCAUAGAGAGAUCCGAUUGCUACUUUGUACAAGGGCUAUGUGGUUUUGGUUGUGAUAAACUCACAGGCAGCUAUGUAAUAAAGACAGACAUGUAAGAUGAUAAAUUAUGUAAAGAAUUGGGCCAAAAGUAUCUUAAAUUUGGCAGUCAGUAGUGUGGAUUUUAACUUGAAUUUGUCUAAGUCACAGUUUCUCUCAGGUGAGAUGGAAAUAGUGUGCUACUUCACCUCAGAAGCUUCCUGAAUGUUUGUUCAUCCUCGUGAAACUUCUGAAAGCCUUACAUUUCAAUAUUCAUGCUUUUUAAAAUGCAGUUGUUUAUAUAGGAAGCUGAAUGAGUCUCAUGGCAGUUGAAGUUCAGCCUGAUGGAGAUCUUUUGGGUUUUGAUUAUCUUCCUGACAUGCUGCAGAGGAAGAGGGGAAAUCUGUUAGAGUGCACAAAGGGAGGAGUUGUUAAUAAGAUGCAAAAACCCAUUUGUCCUUUAUCAGUUCUUAAAGUUAGGUUUUUUUUGCUACAUGUCUUCCAGAGAGACUGGAGGAAACACCUGAACAGCGAUCACUGGGAGAGUAAUCCAUAGGAACAUGACAACAUCUCUACUUCCACUUAUACUCUUUGACCUAAUGAAACCGUGCAGAUGAAUAAGUGGUAUACCUUUUACACAUAUGAAAAGACUUACAAAAUAGCGUGCUUUCAUACAACAUUGAUUGCUUUACUUUAAAGCUAGUAUUCACUCACUUUGUUUUGAACUGUGCUGGCUUUUGUAAUACCGUGCCAGUUUAUGUAUGCUGACUAAUACAUUGGAAACUUUUCUGAACAAGUUUAUUCUUAUCUUAAGGAACAGCGGCAACUACUGUAUUUUAAUUAGGAGCUUGUGAACUUGCCCCCGAUACAUGCAGUUCCAUGUUUACUUGAAACUUGUGUUAAGUGGAAGCUGUUGCUGAAAUGCAGGAAGUGUCAUGUCCUCUUCUUGCUUGGUUGUGUUGGCACUUGUGCUUGUAAUGGUGACAUGGUGAAUCAUAGCAGGAAAUUUAUUUGGCAGAAAAUGAAUCUAUUUUUAUUUUCCUAGCUAACUUUCAGAUGGAUCAUUUCCCUGACCUGACUCACGGUGUAGCUGCACAAACAGUAGUGCCGGCACACACCGGGAUGCAUGAGCAGCAGCAUGGAGGGGCAGGAUAGCUUCCUCCUAGAGGCAGCCCCCACCUUUGCAAGACUAAAUCAGUUAUAGAAUUGCACCUAAAACUUAAUUUAACACUACAACCAGACUGCAGCACAACUAGUUUAUAUUUCAGGAUGGUUUUCUUUGAAGGUUAUGUUCAGAAAAGGGCCACUGAUUUACUCUCUGUGCUAGUGCUAAAUGUGAUUGAAUUAAAAAAUACCACCAGGAGGUUAGCUAGUUCCUAUUCCUGUGUGUUUAUAGUUUUUAAACAAACAUUAAUUUUUUAACACAAUAGUGACUUGGCUAAUGUCUGAAACAUUAAGUGGUUCUUUAAUCCAAAUCAUACAGUAGCUUUGUAAUCCUCUUAGGUUUAGACUUUGAAAGCUGUUUAAAAAGAGUAUUUUAACAAAAAAAAAAAAGGACCCCACCCAAAGCUUAUGGUACACUCUGAGGCUAGUGAGUUGCUGGCUUCUGGGUAUUACUGAAGAUCAAAUUUAUACUUAGUGCUCUCAGAGUUGAGAAUAUACAUGCGGUGUUGGUGGACAAUCACUGAAACUUCAGAUGAUAUUAAUUUUUAAGCCUCUUGAGUUUUCCGUAGAGCUUCUACUAUAUUUGAUAGAAUUCCUGUAAGGGUAGAUUUUGGCUGAAAUUCAUUCUUUGAAAGCCUGCUUCUGGAUUUGUUUGGUUAUAUACCAAAAUUUGGAGAAUGAUCAAGCUCGUUAUGAUUUCAACUUGCACGAUGAAUAUUUGAAAUGAAUUUUUGUUGUAAACAUUUGUAUUUGGGAUCCCUUGGGAUGGUUUUCAAUCACAGCCAAGAUCUUGCACAUUUAAUUUACACCAUGUGCAUAGGAUUUUAUGUGGAACUGCUGUUGGCACAAAGAGGCUUAUGUAGGCUGAUGAACUUCUCCCUCACUUGAUCCAACCAUCCUUGCUCCAAAGGAGACAGGGUAUUGCUGUUACGUGCAGCAGUGUGGGCAACCAUGCUAAUACCAGACCAGAUAGAUAAAUUGCAUGGUGAAUGAGUGUCAUGUUCUUCAGGCACAUACAAACACCUUGUAGUUUCCCGUUUGCCACAACCACAGUGCUAGCUCUCUUUUCUAGUAAAAAUAACAAACAGACAAACAAAAAGCCACAAAACCAAACCAAAGAAAUCCAGCUUUUCUUGGGAAUCCUUUCUAACACUUUUCUACAGCAACCUCUCCAAGAAGAUACCUGUAGAUAUUUUUUAGUCUACCAAGAGAGAGUUAGGGAAGCAGUUAUGGUCAAGGUGCAUUAUUUGUGGUAUAUAAUAGCUGUGUAAUACAUACUUACGUAAAAGCUCAAGUGACGUAUUUUUUUUGUGCCAGCCUUCCAAGUAUCAGUAUAGUCAUUAAUAGAUAAUGCUACAAAUGUUUAGUGUACUGGUAAUGAGAGAUUAAAUAAUCUGCUGUAGAUAGGCAAAUAAUAAUAGACAUUAACUUUAAUAAUAAAAGCUUGACCUACUCAAACAAGGUUGCAUUCUAAAAAAUUCUAAUAUUAAUAGAUAUUUUGGGUGUUUUUGAGGAACAUAUUUCAAUAAUGAGACUUAGUCUUACCUAAGAACAUAAAAUAUGAAUUUGUGUUGGUUUCUUGUGAUGAAUUUUCCUGUAAAAGAGGUAACAAGUUACUACUCCAAAACUGGGUAAAAUAGAGGGGAGAAAAAAAGGUCUUUUUAUUGAGAGGCAACAUGAGUGCCAAAGCAUUAUGAUCUGGCUGCCCAUAGUGUGUCUGACCUUUCUUUACAAAAGGAAAAUAUCUCUCUAAUAAAGUGGAUAGAAAGUUGCAGGUCUU
Molecule: long non-coding RNA, 5902 nt
Organism: Strigops habroptila (Kakapo)
Lineage: Eukaryota; Metazoa; Chordata; Aves; Psittaciformes; Psittacidae
Exons: 2
Source: RefSeq, a predicted model, not a curated record